UACGUAGGGUGCAAGCGUUGUCCGGAAUUAUUGGGCGUAAAGAGCUCGUAGGCGGUUUGUCGCGUCUGCUGUGAAAACGCGAGGCUCAACCUCGCGCCUGCAGUGGGUACGGGCAGGCUAGAGUGCGGUAGGGGAGACUGGAAUUCCUGGUGUAGCGGUGAAAUGCGCAGAUAUCAGGAGGAACACCGGUGGCGAAGGCGGGUCUCUGGGCCGUAACUGACGCUGAGGAGCGAAAGCAUGGGGAGCGAACAGG
This 253-nucleotide ribosomal RNA is filed under the name uncultured bacterium. RNAcentral's name for it is "partial 16S ribosomal RNA". It matches the Rfam family "Bacterial small subunit ribosomal RNA", at positions 524 to 776 of the family's 1533-position model. The record is from RNAcentral.